Molecule: ribosomal RNA, 253 nt
Filed under: uncultured bacterium
Lineage: Bacteria
Description: partial 16S ribosomal RNA
Rfam family: Bacterial small subunit ribosomal RNA
Source: RNAcentral
UACGAAGGGUGCAAGCGUUACUCGGAAUUACUGGGCGUAAAGCGUGCGUAGGUGGUUCGUUAAGUCUGAUGUGAAAGCCCUGGGCUCAACCUGGGAACUGCAUCCGAAACUGCCUUGCUAGAGUAUGGGAGAGGGAAGCGGAAUUCCGGGUGUAGCGGUGAAAUGCGUAGAUAUCCGGAGGAACACCGGUGGCGAAGGCGGCUUCCUGGACCGACACUGACGCUGAGGCGCGAAAGCUAGGGGAGCAAACGGG